UAUAUGUUUUAUUCAUUUUUGUCAGGUAAAAGCAGAGGGAAGAAGUGCUUUAGUCUGCGACAGCAUGCAGCUUUAGGGGUCCUGUCUGUCCGUACUGAGAGCCUGAGGUAGAAGUUGCCCUUAACCACAGAUCUAGGAUCAGAUUCCUCUCUAUCAAACAAAACUGUAAGUCUCGGAAAUCCCAGACCUGAGGCAACACUGUUAAUGUGGGAGGCAACUCGUCUGCCUAGAGACAAGUCAAAACUUUAACCAUUCGGGAGGAAGACCAAACUGACUUCAGAUCAUUCUCUAGUCAACUUCAACCCCAUCCUACUCAGUUGGACUGGGUUAGCAGUAUGAUUUACUUUCCCUGAAAUCCUAGUUGGGAGGAUUCCCCGAUUUCCUGAUUAUACCUCAUAUUUCCAACCAGGAUUUCUGGAAAACACAGGAAAAGUUAUUGGAAUUGUGCAACCCUAACACCAACCCUCUUAUAAUCCGGUCUAUAUAGCGCUAUCAUAACAAUAACAGGUCUUAUAGACACACAUGACUAGUUAUGACUACGACCACUGACUUAAUUGCCUACUGUCAUGACACAAACCCAGAUGAGGUCAGCUACUGACUAGAGUAACUGUAGAUAUUGGAGGUCAGCUACUUGGCUAGAGUUACUGUAGAUAUUGGAGGUCAGCUACUUGGCUAGAGUUACUGUAGAUAUUGGAGGUCAGCUACUUGGCUAGAGUUACUGUAGAUAUUGGAGGUCAUCUACUUGGCUAGAGUUACUGUAGAUAUUGGAGGUCAGCUACUUGGCUAGAGUUACUGUAGAUAUUGGAGGUCAGCUACUUGGCUAGAGUUACCGUAGAUAUGAGGUCAGCUACUCGGCUAGAGUUACUAUGGAUAUUGUAGCAACCAACGCUUAGCAGCCUCUUCAACGUUCUACCAUCUCUUGGCGUAACGGUGUUGGGUUGACAGUCGUUGGACCUGUGCUUGAAUCCCGGGUUGGGGCUAACCCCUGAAAUCCCUACAAUUGGCUAUACCAAGCUAACGAGCUGACCUAAACAGUGGUAUGUGCUAUAAGGGGGGUAAGUUAGAUAACAUAAGCUGUAUGUUUACUGGUUCCUACAUGAGCAGGUCUACCUCACCGCUCGUCUCUACCGUGGCAUAGCUUUGUCAUUAGGAGGUGAAAUGGUGGUGGCCCCAACUAGGGUGGGUCGACCCGCGGGAAUGCGGCUUGGUGCAUUGCAUGACCAUCUAGGUAGGGCACAGGUGUCAAACUGAUUCCACGGAGGGCCAAGUGGCUGCGUUUUUAACCGCUCCUACCUUGUACUUGAUUGAGGAAUUAACGUCACUGAUUAGUAAGGAACCCCCCUCACCUGGUUGUCUCAGUAAGGAACUCUACUCACCUGGUUGUCCAGGUCUCAGUAAGGAACUCCCCUCACCUGUUUGUCUAGGUCUUUAGUAAGGAGCUCCCCUCACCUGGUUGUCUAGGUCUUAGUAAUGAACUCCCCUCACCUGGUUGUCUAGGUCUUUAGUAAGGAGCUCCCCUCACCUG
Long non-coding RNA from Oncorhynchus tshawytscha (Chinook salmon), 1525 nucleotides. The record is from Ensembl. NCBI's taxonomy places the organism in Eukaryota, Metazoa, Chordata, Actinopteri, Salmoniformes, Salmonidae.